RNAcentral lists this non-coding RNA (22 nucleotides) under Arabidopsis thaliana (thale cress). Lineage: Eukaryota; Viridiplantae; Streptophyta; Magnoliopsida; Brassicales; Brassicaceae. The record is from RNAcentral.
UCAGCUACCGAUUUAUCUGCAA